UACGGAGGGUGCGAGCGUUAAUCGGAAUGACUGGGCGUAAAGGGCAUGUAGGCGGAUGAUUAAGUUAGGUGUGAAAGCCCUGGGCUCAACCUAGGAAUUGCACUUAAAACUGGUUAUCUGGAGUAUUGUAGAGGAAGGUAGAAUUCCACGUGUAGCGGUGAAAUGCGUAGAGAUGUGGAGGAAUACCGGUGGCGAAGGCGGCCUUCUGGACAGAUACUGACGCUGAGAUGCGAAAGCGUGGGGAGCAAACAGGAUUAGAUACCCGCGUAGUCC
Molecule: ribosomal RNA, 273 nt
Filed under: uncultured bacterium
Lineage: Bacteria
Description: partial 16S ribosomal RNA
Rfam family: Bacterial small subunit ribosomal RNA
Source: RNAcentral